RNAcentral lists this ribosomal RNA (253 nucleotides) under uncultured bacterium. Its description in RNAcentral is "partial 16S ribosomal RNA". It matches the Rfam family "Bacterial small subunit ribosomal RNA", at positions 524 to 776 of the family's 1533-position model. The record is from RNAcentral.
UACGUAGGGUGCAAGCGUUGUCCGGAAUUAUUGGGCGUAAAGAGCUCGUAGGCGGUUUGUCGCGUCUGCUGUGAAAACUGGAGGCUCAACCUCCAGCCUGCAGUGGGUACGGGCAGACUAGAGUGCGGUAGGGGAGAUUGGAAUUCCUGGUGUAGCGGUGGAAUGCGCAGAUAUCAGGAGGAACACCGAUGGCGAAGGCAGCUCGCUGGGACGGUACUGACGCUGAGACGCGAAAGCGUGGGGAGCAAACAGG